Molecule: ribosomal RNA, 524 nt
Filed under: uncultured bacterium
Lineage: Bacteria
Description: bacterial SSU rRNA
Rfam family: Bacterial small subunit ribosomal RNA
Source: RNAcentral
ACAUCCAGAGACUUAGCAGAGAUGCUUUGGUGCCUUCGGGAACUCUGAGACAGGUGCUGCAUGGCUGUCGUCAGCUCGUGUUGUGAAAUGUUGGGUUAAGUCCCGNAACGAGCGCAACCCUUAUCCUUUGUUGCCAGCGGUUCGGCCGGGAACUCAAAGGAGACUGCCGGUGAUAAACCGGAGGAAGGUGGGGAUGACGUCAAGUCAUCAUGGCCCUUACGGCCAGGGCUACACACGUGCUACAAUGGCGCAUACAAAGAGAAGCGACCUCGCGAGAGCAAGCGGACCUCAUAAAGUGCGUCGUAGUCCGGAUUGGAGUCUGCAACUCGACUCCAUGAAGUCGGAAUCGCUAGUAAUCGUAGAUCAGAAUGCUACGGUGAAUACGUUCCCGGGCCUUGUACACACCGCCCGUCACACCAUGGGAGUGGGUUGCAAAAGAAGUAGGUAGCUUAACCUUCGGGAGGGCGCUUACCACUUUGUGAUUCAUGACUGGGGUGAAGUCGUAACAAGGUAAGCGUAGCGAG